UGUUCGUUAGUAGUCACUGAAAACUUUGUAAAGCUAGAGCUAGCGCUGCGCAAAGAAAUGGCCCCCAAACUCGCCACAUUUUGCAUUUUCGCCUUUCUCUUUCUAAGCUUGGAGAGUAAGAAGUCUGUAGCGACAAAGAAAACCCAUAAGGAAAUCUUGAGCGUGCAAAAACUCCUCGAUGAAUUGAUCCUACGGCUUUCAUUGAACUUGAAACUACAGGAAGGAGAAAGCCAUGACCGCCGCAGCAGCCCAAAAAGACGCAACAGAGCAACAAAAAACCGUUGCCGAAGAUUUGACAAAAGUGUACAAGAAAUGGCCCCCAAACUCGCCACAUUUUGCAUUUUCGCCUUUCUCUUUCUAAGCUUGGAGAGUAAGAAGUCUGUAGCGACAAAGAAAACCCAUAAGGAAAUCUUGAGCGUGCAAAAACUCCUCGAUGAAUUGAUCCUACGGCUUUCAUUGAACUUGAAACUACAGGAAGGAGAAAGCCAUGACCGCCGCAGCAGCCCAAAAGGACGCAACAGAGCAACAAAAAACCGUUGCCGAAGAUUUGACAAAAGUGUACAAGAUCCAUUCACUUCUGGGUCAACUUUCUGGCACCCACAAUGCAAGUGCUCCUUGCGAUCAUCAUUUCUCUAUUGUAGAUUUUGUGGGAAAGCGGCCAGUAAGACUUCAUGCCGUCUCCGAUCUUCCAGCAAAUUCCACAGUCUCCUUUGACGGUGAGCAAACAAAUAAUUGUCUAUGGAUCAAUACAAAACGAAAUUUGACGGGCUGUAUAAAACUCAGAAUAGGGGGGGAGGUAUCUGUUUUUAGUCUGUUUUUUGUAAAUUCAGCUCCAAAAAAGCCAGGAGUCAAUGGGUUAAGUCAAGCCAAUGGCAACGAGUUGCGCGUGUUCUAUCAGUCCCAAGCUUCAGAAGAGCCCGUCCAAAUCGACCGCGUCGUCAGUGGAUUGGGUACUACUAACGCAACAGUCUCGUUCAAGCUCCAAGCCCCGUUGCCAAGCAACGCUGUCAAUCAAAACAAGUACGCUCUUGUGUUUGGUAGCAAAUCCGCUGGCCGAGCUAAUAGCAACCCUGAUGACUUCUCAGAUAGUAAUUUGGACCGGAAGUGGAAGAUGAACAACUUUGGGCAGUGGAGCGUGAACAGUGGAAAAUUGUUCGGCGUGACCGGAAUUACGCCGACUGGUGAUGCUGCGGAAAUCGGUAUUUAUGCGAAGGAUGGCUUUGGAUGGGAAGAUUAUGAGUUCGAUCUUGAUUUUUUGGGGGCAACAUCUGCACCAGUUGAGUACCCAGGGCCAUUCCUUCGAGUGCGAGAUCUCUCAACUAGAAGCACAUCAGCCUGGUGGUUCGAGUACAAAAGCAACCAUAAAGAUUGUACGAUGAGGCCUUACCAGAACAAUAAAGACGGUAGUUGGGCUUACAAGGGCACCCUCCCCACCCCCCUUACCGCGAAGUGGUUCCACUUCCGGUAUCGAGUACAAGGACAGUCGAUCUCGCGGAUGGUCACGUGAUUCACGAUAACUUAGCCGUUGCAAGUCAAUGGAAAAUUAAACAAGGAUCCCUUGGCUUUGGCUGUCACAACAAGUUCACCCUAGGCUGCCGUUCGUUCUACGACAACAUUCGCAUUCGGCUGCUCGUCCCCUCCCCACCACGGGUACUUCUUGGCGAUCCCUGCAGGCUUCAGCAUCACGCGCAGAGCUUGCUGGGAAGUCAAGAGAAGCCCGCUGACUCCUGCAAGCAGAUGCAUGAUGCGAGCCUGCUUGACGGGAAGCCUUUGGUAGAAAAUGGCAUGUACUGGGUGAAAACGUACUGCGAUAUGAACAAUGGUGGAUGGACUCUCGUUGGGAAACUGAGCGGAAGUGUGGGAAACAUCUAUGACAAAUGGCUGGUACAAAACAGAAAUGUAAAAGGUCUUAAAUCACCAAGUCUAAGGAAUCCGAAUACUUACUCAUGCCUAGAUGCCCGUGUUCUUGCGGUCCACUUUGCAUCACGGGUAAUGUUCUCCAGUUCCGGUGACGACACUUCCGGUAUUGGUAGCAAGUGGGUAAGCUGGGAGUUGCCAAGGCAGCGUGAAGUGGGUACCCUGUGGAAUCACGCUGUUGGCUACAAUCGGGUGAAAAGUGCGUCAGAGGAACCUGUAACGGUAACCAGCUGGAAUGGGGCAACACAGGUGUGCUACCAAAAUAAAUACGGAAUCAUGCGAUAUCAAGAUCAUGGGGGGUCCUACCCAACAGUGUCAUUUAAUAACCAAGGAAACACAAAAACGAAUGAUUACUGUAUGGCGCUGGGUGUGAUGACCGCGGGCUCAACUGCACAUGGGUGGACCCAGAACCGUAAUGGCUACGACUCGCCCGAGUCUGACGCGGACUGGCCAAACCGAGCAUAUAAUCAUCAGUCGCCUUACGUUACCGUCUGGCUUAAGUAGACUUGUAACGAGUGAUACGUAGAUAAAGUGAAAAACGGACAGAUGUGUUUUCCAAACUGGAUUGACCCUGGGACUACAAUCCAUCCUCGGGGACCCAGGGCGACGCGGAGACCGGAAGUGGGAGUACCCGCGAAGACGAAAGACAAAACUAGACGUAUGUUUCCCCUGUUUGUUUCGUCUUCGCGCCUACUACCACUUCCGGUCUGCGUCGCCUGGGUCGCCGAGCAUCAGCAAUCGAUAGAAAUUAUCAGCCUAAAGAGUGUCUAAUCUAUUUGAAACUUAACUGCUAGUGAUCUAGGCAUCAAGCGUCAUGAUAUAGACAUAUGAUCCUUUAUAAAGCUCACACAGGAUGAAACUCUUGCAGCCCCAGUAACACAAUAAGGAUCACAGCAAAGCGAGGAGAGUCAGCUCAAUUUAAAGAAGUUGGUUAUAUAUAUUGAAA
RNA transcript from Nematostella vectensis (starlet sea anemone), 2863 nucleotides. RefSeq lists it as uncharacterized. NCBI's taxonomy places the organism in Eukaryota, Metazoa, Cnidaria, Anthozoa, Actiniaria, Edwardsiidae. The transcript has 7 exons. The record is from RefSeq and is a predicted model, not a curated record.